This 32-nucleotide non-coding RNA is filed under the name Rattus norvegicus (Norway rat). Lineage: Eukaryota; Metazoa; Chordata; Mammalia; Rodentia; Muridae. The record is from RNAcentral.
UGCCUGAGAAUAUGCACUCAGUUGAGUGUGGU